This 63-nucleotide ribosomal RNA is filed under the name Bigelowiella longifila. RNAcentral's name for it is "partial Eukaryotic large subunit ribosomal RNA". Lineage: Eukaryota; Cercozoa; Chlorarachniophyceae. The record is from RNAcentral.
UCCUAAGGCAAGCUCAAUGAGAACAGAAAUCUCAUGUAGAUGGAACAAAGGGUGAAAGCUCUC